CCUACGGUGGGCAGCAGUGAGGAAUAUUGGUCAAUGGACGAGAGCCUGAACCAGCCAAGUAGCGUGAAGGAUGACUGCCCUAUGGGUUGUAAACUUCUUUUAUAAAGGAAUAACACGAGGCACGUUUGCCUCUUUGCAUGUAAUUUAGGAAUAAGGACCGGCUAACUCCGUGCCAGCAGCCGCGGUAAUACGGAGGUUCCGAGCGUUAUCCGGAUUUAUUGGGUGUAAAGGGAGCGUAGGUGGGUUGUGAAGUCGGUUGUGAAAGUUUGCGGCUCAACCGGAGACGUGCAAUUGAUACUGGCAGUCUUGAGUACAGGAGAGGUAAGCGGAAUUCGUGGUGUAGCGGUGAAAUG
RNAcentral lists this ribosomal RNA (353 nucleotides) under uncultured bacterium. RNAcentral's name for it is "partial 16S ribosomal RNA". It matches the Rfam family "Bacterial small subunit ribosomal RNA", at positions 338 to 688 of the family's 1533-position model. The record is from RNAcentral.